GAUUUAAGACACAAAUUUAGACUUAAAACUUAAAUAAUCAAUUUGUGCCAGCGGGAAACACACAAACACGUACCGGUAAAUUAUCAUAAUCAGAAUUUGUCGACGAAUUUGAUAUUCUUUUACAAAAUAUACUUAUCUUAAUAUGUAUAACCGGAGUUUAUAUUACAUGCCCCUCUCCCAACGAUAGUUGUAGUACUCUUAUAAUAGUAGUACUCAUGAAUACAGUUAAUCCGGGUUGUUGGGAGAGAUCACAUGCAUAAAUACAACAUGAAACAAACGUGUGAAAAAGGUACAUAAAAUCGGUGUGACCCGUUCUUGUAUUAUAAGAAAUCAACUUGCUUAGGCCUUGCCGGACUCCUCACAACCCGGUGGCUUGAAGGCGAUGAAGCUGAUGCACUGCACUUGCCUGGUGUUGUCGAAGCCGAUGAUGCGGACAUAGGCGUCAGGGUACUCCUUCUUCACCUCCUCCAGCUCCUUUAGCACCUGCGUGGCGUCGGUGCACCCGAACAUGGGAAGCUUCCACAUUGUCCAGUACCUGCCGUCGUAGUACCCGGGAGAGUUGCCGUGCUCACGGAAGACGAAACCGACCUUGCUGAACUCGAGGCAAGGAACCCACUUGGAGCGGAUGAGAUACUCGAUCUGCUUCAAGAGGGACUCCACGGUGAGAGGCGGCAGGUAGGAAAGGGUUUCGAACUUCUUGAUGCCCUCAAUUGGCCACACCUACAAUUAGAUUAAUAAUUAGCACCGAAAGUAUAAUUUGAGACACAUAUCAGUAUUUCACUUCAACAUAUGUACAUGAUGACAUACAUACCUGCAUGCACCUGAUCCUUCCACCGUUGGAGACGCUGCCGAGACCAGCGCUGGCUGAGCGGCGGCCGAUGGGGAGCCCGGCGGUGGACUUGAGGCCCUGGAAAGGAGCAACGGCAGUAGCCGCUGACGACAUCACUGUGGGAGCCAUCGUACACGUACGUAGAUAGCUAACAAGAGGAGGCAGGCUUGCUUGAGUGCUCUCUAGCUACAGCGGCUUAUAUAACUGUAGGCUCCCCACCCAUCCAAUAUCAGCACAAGAUCUAGGAGGGGUGGCUGCAGUUCGCCGCGCGGAUUUGCCCAGGCCACGCUGGCAUCCUACGGAUCAGGUCGGGCGCCACAUGGCCGCACGAAAUGGCGCGCGUUAUCCUCUGGACGGAUACAAUUGGCUGCAACGCACUCUGCAAAUCAUGCCAUGAAGUGACCAAUUUUCACCUAUCAGGAUAGAUCCAAUGUGCCACGGCAUGCACUCAAAAACAGAACUUGCUAAUCCCUCCAAUCCAUAAAAAAUCUCGCCCACUUAUUAGAAAAUUUGUAAUGAGUUAAUGCAAAAUGAGCAGCACUUUUUAUGAACUAGAGGAACAACAAAUUAAGAGAAACUCUUCUAAGAUCUUAUCGAGAACGAAGCUUGCCCCCGCGUCGCUCAGUCUGGGGCGACACGGGCGGCAACCACACCAGCCCCGGCAGCAGCCUCUCCCCGUCCUCUCCUCCCCCUCGCCGCCGCCGGGCAAAGCCCGCACGGGGACGGCGGCGGCGGGGCUGUUUUUCUUGGCGGGGGUGUCCUAGAGCUCUUGGCUGAGGCGUUUGAGGUGCUGCCUCAUCGUGGUCGCGGCGUCUCCGGCCCGAUCCGGCAGGCUAUGCCUCGUCUUCGGCUAGAUCCGGCCGGCUUCCUCCCGGAUCCGGUGUUUCCCCUCGUUCUUCCUCUCCCUGGUGCUCGGUCUGCUCGUGGCUGCGCGGCUUCACGGCGGCGCUCUUCGGCCGGAUCUAGCUACUCGUUGGCCAGAUCCGUCAUCUCCUCCGGCUGAUCCGGCAUGUCCCAGGUCUCUUCGUUUCCAUCAUUUUUCCUCUCAGUUUGGUGAGGCGGCUGAUUGAACUUCACCGGCGGCAGAUGGGCUGCUGCUGCGGCCAUACAUGGUCCAAGUCGGUCCUUUUCGAUGCCAUGGUGGCGUGGUUUUCAUUUUCGGUCGCGUCUUCGGCUGCUGCCCGUGUGCGAGGUAUGGACGUCGGCUCCGGUGUUUGGAGUGUUGCUCUGGAUGAAAACUGCCCGUGUGCGAGGUAUGCCGAAGACAACGAUGUUGUAGCGCCGUUUUCCUUCUUGGAGGUGUCGUCGAAGAGCUUCACUUUCCCUCACUUUGAUGUUUGGUGUCUUCGGGUGAAAACCUAAGAUUUGGCUAUGGCCAGAUCGGGCGACAACGGCGUUUUUACGUCGAUUUCCUCCUUGGGGGCGUUGUCAUGGAGACAACGACUCUUGGUGGCAUCGGGUGGUGUGGUCCGUCUAUGGUGGAGCUUGUUGUCUCGAGUUGUUGAAGGUUUGGUGGUGUCUCUUCUUGUGUCAUGUGUUAGCUUAGGCUGUCGGUUUGUGUCCGGCGAGAACGUGCGUUUCUUAUCCUUUGGUGCGGUUUCGGCAUGUGAUGCCUUUCGUCUUCACUAUCGUCACGUAGGUGUCGUGUUGUAUUCUCGGUGGUGUGUGGUCUUUCGGCUUAGCCAACGGCAAGUGGAGGUAUGAUCUCGGUUGUGUAUUGCCCUUCGACUUCAUCGGCGGCACAUCGGCGUCGCGGUGGGUCUCAGUGACGCGCAGCCCUUCGACUCUGCCGGCUACGUAGGUGUCAUGGUGCGGCCUUGACCCUGUGCUUCCCUUCAGCUACGGCGACGACAUAGUGUCUGGGUGGGCUCGUCAGAUCGACGCCUUUCGACUACAUCAACUAUGCUCUUCAUUGUGCAUUUAUUUUGCCAUUGACAUGUUUCAAGAGUCUAGGUUUUUUCCUUGUGUUUCUUUUAGCAAAUGCUGUUCUGCAGGCUGGCUUUUGCCCACCCGAUCAGAAAAGAAAAACAAAUUAAAGGCUAAAAUCAAGCGAUGUUAUAUUCCCUUAGCUAUUACAAAUAUGGAUGAUAAGAGUUAUUUAUCCUUUUUCAACGAGUAACCCUUUACUUGGAAGUUCCAUGUGCAUGGCGCUGCAAGAAAACAAACAUCAUAAUGGGGCAAGACUUUUUUUUUUAUAAACAUCCAAUUUGGGUUAAAGUCUGAAAGAAUUUGGCUAUCUGAACUUUCAGUUUCCACAUUCUUUUACCUACUCAAUUCUUCAGCCAACAGGAUCAAUGGCGACCUACUAACACCAACCAGAACACAUGGGUCACAAACACGAAAAAGGGCUAGAAGGCUACUUAUACACACUCAUGUGUACUGCGAGCAAAAGAACAUAAUGUACAAAACUUUACAAAAUCUAGGGAAUUAAGACCUUCCCGUAUGCUGUUGCUGCCGCUGCUGCUUCAUGCUGGCUCUCCUGGCAACAUCCCAUGGUUUGUGAGGCACACCUACACCUUGCUGGGAUGCGAAGAACGACUCGUAUCCCGGGGAGUCGAAAGCAAAACCAGUGUGCUUGGAGUUCUCUCGAGGGAGCAUGGAGAUCGCAUAGCUUCUUGCUUCUUCUGGGCUCAAAUGGCUCCUCUCAGGCAGAUGUAUCAUGCUGUAUUCGUGGGGGUCAUCCUUGUGCAUCUCCUGGAUUACUUGGUAGUCAUAGGGAAAGAGCCAUCUUUGGAGCCUGAGAAAGCACACAGCAUCAAAGACAACAAUUGAUUCAGCUACUUCAGUAUGUACAAUGGAAGGAAUAACAAACGGAUGGCAUUAACAAACAUAUAAUUUUGCAAAAGAGCUGGUAUCUUACGAUAGAUACAGGAAAUCACCAAAGAGAGCGAUGACUGGAGCAAGCAUUAGUGUGAGGUAGAAGAAAAAGGUACUCAUCAGAACAUAAAUCACAAAAUAUACAUUUUCCUGCACAAGGUACACAGCAUUAAGUCAAUGCAUUUGUAGCAAGUAAUCGUCAUCAGCAGUGUAAUAGCUACAUUAUUCACCCACCUGUCGGUCAAAUGAUGUCAUUAUCGCAGAAUAUAUGAAGAUAAACAGAAACCAGGCCGCUAUACUGCCAGCUACGCUGAAAUAAUGCCAUCUCGUGAUAGAAUUGCACGACAUGAGGAGACGUAGAUUAACAGUCACCACAACACAAGUAAAGGCCAUCGUGCUAACAUCCCAUUGACCAAGAAUCUUGCCAGAUGAACCGUGACCAUGCUGACUUGCAGCUGCAGUAAAGUAAUAGAACACUAUUGACUGGUAGAAGGCAAAGAAACCCCACACCGCAAUCACUUUCCACCGGAAGAAUGUGUUCCUAAUUCCUUCUUGGUAAAGUUGUGGGUAUUUUUUUGAUAGAGAUGCACUCACAUCCUGAAAGGGUUCAGUUUAGUGAAUGUAGCAAGGAGCGUCACUCCAGAACAAGAAAAGUAGAACAAAUACAAGCAACCAUACCUUAUCAAACAACCCAACCAUAAUUACAGGUAGUGCCGUGAAAAUGACAUUAUACAGAGACUGGAACCAGUCAUCAUAAAAUCGCUGACCAGAAAAGCCAGUUUGGAAAGUGAACCAGAACUGAGUUAGUGUAAAAGUCAGAUUCUUGUAGAAGAAGUAUGUGAUAACCUGAAACAGAAAGUGUCAAUGUUAAAAAAAUUAAACUACACAGAUUGGCAGCUACAAGCUAAGGGACCAAAGCAUACCUUGCACAAUCUCAAGUAUGACCACCGCCCAUGUACAAGAAGUAAAUCCGUAAGAUAUCGAAACUGAGCAAUGGCAAAAUCACUCGCCAUAACAGCUUGCAUUCCUUCUUGUCCGCUGAUGCCAAUACCAACAUGAGCAGCUUGAAUCAUACUCACAUCAUUAGCACCAUCACCAAUACUGAGAGUUAUCUUACGUGCACCUUUCCUAACUAAACUUGCAACCUACAAAUGUGUCAACAUUACAUGUUUUGGCAUCAUUCGAACCCAACAGGUUAUUAGGAAAUAAAUCCAAAAAUAAGAGACUUUGAGAUUGCUGAUGGGAUGGGUAACAACCAAAUAAGCACAUAUACAAUAAGUUAAUUAAUACUACCUUUGUUUCAAAAUAUUAUACCAAAACGUCUUAUAUUUUGAAACAGAGAUAGUACUUAUAGUACAAGAGUGUACAGGACAUUUAGUUAAGAGGCCAAAACUAGAAUAGCAAAAGCAACCAAUGCACAGUGGUUAAUAAUGAUCUUGUGAAUCAUGCACAAACUAUUUUGUUGUCAAGGUACAAAAUUGGAUCCUUUAAAAUGUAAUAAUAUCAAUAUCCCCCGUUUAUUGCCCAAGCAUCCUGAAAGGCAUGCAGCUGAGAGCUGCAGACCAUACUGCUAAUUAUUUCAUGGGAAAAGGCAAGGCAUGCAUGAUAAGAACGCUAAAAGCGAGAAUUGAUAUUUACCUGUGCCUUUUGCAGUGGAGAAACUCGACAACAUACAACUGAUUGGCAAAUUAAACUCAAACCAAGAAGAUUCACACGCAGAGCUGGGUCUAGAGCGUACAUCAAGCAUCGUCCAUCAAUAAUGAAAGCCAACUUUCGUCCUGGCGUGCUCCUCAAAGAACGGUGGGCUUCCUCAAGGUAACUUCUCAGACUCUGUUUUACCGAGUCUUUGAUAACACGUGCAAUUUCCACAGGGUCUCCCUGAAAAUGACUGGAACAUUAUUCAUGGCAAAGAUAUGUGCAUAAGUUGAUUUACAUCAAUCAGAUACAAAUGCUAAAUUGCUAAUUAUGGUUGAUCAAACUGCAAAACACACGAGAUAUCCAAAAGGCUAUAUAAACAUGAUGGAGAGGCUAAAGCACUGAAACAACAGAAUCAACAUAAAGUAUUUUGUACUAUUAUGCAACUAAGCCUUUUGUCCCAAGCAAGUUGGGGCAGGCUAGAUAUGAAACCCAAACAGAAACUAAAGCAAAGUGCAGGUAACAAAAGAGCAAGAGAGUAAAUCAAGGUUCAGGCACAUGGACUGCUGAUUUCCAUGCAGCCCUAUCAAAAGCAAAAUCUCUAGAUACAUUCCAGUCCUUCAAGUCCCUUUAACUGCCUCCUACCAAAAGCAAAUAUCAUAGUAAUCCACCAACCAAAGUAACAAGGGAACUACUUGUAACUUCUUAGUUCACAAGUACAUACCAGUUGAGCUAUCCAAUUAUUCUAAAUAAUAUGGUUUGAUACCUUUACCAAAGUCUCAACUUGUAUUCAUUUUAAAGCUUAUACAAGAUAUUAUAUGUUAUGGCUUAACAGUCUCCAUGACACAAUAUGGCUUGACUUCACAGUUUAAUUCUAUAGGAUUAUCUUACCCUGUCUUCAGCAUCUCUAAUUGCAUCUGUCUCAGAAGUGAUGAUGAAUUGUUUUGUAUCGUUAUUCACCAGGCUGCACGCUGCAGAGCAAAAACUAAAUAACUUCAGAAGCUUUUCUAUGUCAGGUGAAAGAGAGAGAAAAAGACCGCCCGCCCCCCACCAAUAAUCCAAAACUGAGCUUCUAUUAGACCCCUUAAGAACGAAACAAGCAUGCAAAUUGAUCUAUAUAUAAUUAAAACCUCACCAUAUGCUAUAUUAAUUGCUGUUUCCAUUUUAUCUCCAGUUAGCACCCAAAUUUUUAUGCCAGCUGCAGAAAGAGUUUCAAUGCAGGCUGGAACCCCUUCUUGCAGUUUGUCUUCUAUUGCAGUGCACCCUAUCAAUAUAAGGUCCUUUUCAAUCAACUCAGCCACCUACAGGGGAAGAAACAGAAGGAAAUUAUAUGGCAAUGUCCCAGCAAUAUCUUAAAUCAGAAUAUACAUUAAGUCUAUUACUUCAAAUUCCUUUUUCCUAGAAAUCACAGUGAACUUAGUACAUGAAAGAAUGAAAGGAUAAUGCUUUUCUAAUGGGGAUUUGAAAAAACAUCAUAAAAAUAAUAAUAUAAAGUACUGUAUGUUCUUGUUCUAGAUAAAUUACAAAUAUCUUUUGCUCAUGAUCCUCUUUCCUGACUAAAAAAUAUAUAUUAUUAUGUAAAAUACUAAUGUUCUAUGGCAGUACAAGAUAAUAAAUUAGCACAAAAAACUAUUAAACUGCAAAUGUCAGCUGUUAGGGAUGGAUGACAUGACUCCUGUAGUUUUGGGGGGAGAGAGAGAGGAGACACACUGAACAAAUUACUUCCUUCGUCUCCAAAGAUUGCCAUGCCACAUUCUAUUCGGUCAGUCAACCUUUUACAACUUCAAAAUUAACAAUUAUAAGUGAAUUGAAUUACUACAUGAAAAAUAACAGCACUCAAUUUGCUUGCAUAAUAAUUUGUACGCAAAACUUUUGCUUGUAUAUUAGCAUAGAAAUCAUAGCCAGAGUUUUAUGUUGGGAGAAUAUAAAAUUAAAAAAUGGCCUACAUUUGUCAGGUACAUUCAGUUAAUUGUUUCCAAAACCAAAUUAAUUUUCAUACAUAAAUACCAAACGGAUCAAUAGCAUGCUCAACAGUGCACAUGAGACUCGAGUUCAGUACUGGAUGACAGAAAGUAAAAAAAAUCAGGCAAGCACUAGAAGGUGGAGGGGAAGUAAUCGAAAUUCAAAUCACAGGGACUGUUCAGCCUGUAUACUCAACAGAAGAGGAUGGUACACAUACCUCAUCAAGCUUCUUAUCACGAUCUCGUAAAGAAGAUUUAGCUUGAACAAACUUCUCAUUCCAGCUUUCGUACUGCUCCCUGCUUAGAUCUCGAUAAGCAAGGCAAAGCGUGCGCAAGCCAGCAGAGCCAAAUUGUUCUAGAUGUUCUCUGCUUGUCUUUUUAAUGUCAUGAUUUCCAUCAGCUAACCGUUCAAAAAUGACAUUAUCAGCGCCCUGUUACACAACAUUUGUAUAAGGUUAGUGCAUCAAUCUACAAAGUGAUAGCUACAUAAAGAUUCUUUUUUCUUGUAUUACCUUGCAAUACAGAACAAGUUUUCCAUUUGGGAAACGGCAAACCACAGAUUGGCGCUUUCUUGUACUGUGAGUGCAGUAAAGUGUGAAGUGCAGAACAAUGAUUUCAUCUUGUCAAAUUUAAAUUGAAAACAGAUAAACCAGACCUGUUGAAUUCCAAAACAUUCAGAAUUUCAUAUGCAACAUCUUGUAUACUCCCCAUCCUCUCAACAUGUGAUUCCCGAACCAAGACUGUGGUUGGCGUACGUCUACAAGACAGGCACAAAAUGUCAACCACCGGCAUUGCCAUUCACAAUAAAAAUGCCACAUGAAAUAAUUUGCAACAAAAAUCAUAAGAACUUAGAUGAGUUCAUGUUCACAGCACUUGCUUUAACACUUGUCUUAAUUUACAACGGCAAUUUUUUGUUGAUGGGCUAAUAGUUUAUUUAUGCUUCUUAGUAUGUACAUUCAGUCCUUCAUACAACAAACUAUAUAAGCAAUAACCUGGGUGAGUGACUCUUUUAUGCACAUUUUCCUUGGGACCAUAGCAUAGUUUUUUAAGAUACCUUGUUUGCAACAAACUGAUAAGAGGAAUCUAUAACUGUAUUUAAAGGCAAGGUAAGACAUGCCUAUAAAAGAAGAAACCAAAAUUCUUCGCAGCAGCGACAAGCGCGGCCUCGUCGGGAGAGGCAGCUUGAUAAGUAAUCUUUUCCGGUGUCUCCUCACCCUCAGGAAGAACUGUAUGACAGAUUGCAAGGCAUCUGCAGAAUUGCUAUAGAGCAAAUAACAAAGUUGUUACACAACUAGCACAUUAACAAGGGAAAAUGUGAAAAAGGAAAAUAGGUUCCAAAUUUUAUUAGUAAGGGCAUAUAUCGUGAUAUGUGAAUAAUUUGUGUCAACUAAAUCAAAACUGAUUAUGACCAAAGGGGAACCAAUCGAACUAUUCCACAGGUAGUCCCGUAUUUACCACGCAAGCAUCAGGAUUAGGUUCAUUUCUCCAUGCACCACGCAUUAUUCUAGCAUCAUCAAAGUUGAAUCCUUUCUCAUGAACUGCAGUGGCUGAUCUUUUACCCUAAAAAAGGCAAGUAAACUGGAUAUUAAAUCAGUUGUGCAUUAAAUUUUUCAUCAUAUACCACCACACUUCAAUAGCGUAAACAACAAAGAAAAUGUUGUAGACCUCAUCAUCAUCAAUCUUGACUCCGGCUCGCUCGGCUCCUCCUUUUUCAAUCUCUGUGAUGCCAGUUCCAUAUAUUUCCCCUCCAAUCGAACAUUUAAAGAAUUCCAUCAAGUUUCUUGUAAGUGUUCCAGUUUUGUCAGAAAAUAUAUACUCAACCUGAACCAUUAGUGGGGCAAAAAAAAUUUGGCAGAAAUGUCAAAUUAUUUGCAAGUGUUAAGUGCAUUUUAGUACCACUCGGCAUUUGUUCAGUCAUAUAAGCAUUUCUGGGGAUCUAGAACAGUUUUUCGGUGGGAGUAAGUCACUUAAUAUUAGUGAAAUGAGACUGUUCCCCAAGUGCUUAUAAUUGAUCCCACUUUCUGGAAUGAGUCGGUGCAGUGAGGUCAUUCUAUCCAUUAACCAAACCCAGCCAUAUAGGUCAAAUAAGUAAAUAACCCCAUUUCAGCAACAAACAAAGGGGCUUUCAUCAAACUAAACAGAAUGCUAAGGAACAAAAAAAAAACUGAUAUUACCUGCCCAAGCUCCUCAUUCAGAUUAGAAGUCCGAGCCAAAGCUGGGGUGUUGCUCUCGGCAUGAUACAUAUUCAGAUCAUUGUUAAUAAACUUUGCACACUGAAUGAAUUUGAUCAUCUGCCAGCCAAAAUAAACAUAAGGUCCAAUCCAAAUACAGGGUACACUAAAUGAUAAAUUGGUCAAUAUACCUCAAUGGAUACAUAAAGAGAAAUGGGGAUGAUCGUUGAGUAUAGAGUUAUUAGAGUAAACAUAGUUAAAAUGGUCACCUGCAAAAGUACAAACCUAUGAUAUAAGGCCACUUAGAGAAUAUUCUCUACAAUAAAUUAACUAAAAUAAUAUAUACCACAAAUCUGUUCUUGGGAUUAAACUGGUCCUCGACACGCCCACGCAAUCCAAGAUAGAAGUAUUUCUCAUUAAUAAACACGCCACUGUUCACAAAAGCCAAGUAUGAUGAGUCCAUUGGUAGAGUUUUAGGUUUCUAAAGAACGUGCAAGCUAAGCAGUCAUAGUUACCAAAAUCUAUAUGCUGAACAGAGCACUUCCAUUUCUGACCAUCUAGAAAGUGCCCUAUUAUGUACCUCCCACAUAAAACCACUAAGAAAAAAGAUAAGGCUAUUAAGACCUAGUCAUGUGCUCAUCUAUACUGCUCCUAUGCCACAAUAAAAAAAUAACUUCCCCAAACAAGCUCCUGACAACUCAUGUCAUAAUGUUUAAAGUUUAUCUCUCUAUUAACAGUUGUUUUUUCAUGAUCAAUUAAAUUGUGAAAAAUGAUUGUGCAAGCAUAAGCCUCCACAACAUCAACCUAACCGAUAUAACUCAUGUUCAGAGAAUAUACAUGUAAACAAUAAUACAAGAUAGAUAAGUCAAAUAAAUGAAGUGGGCCAAAUAAAACACUGACCUUCCAAUAGCACCAAUGACACACAUCGUAAAGAGGGUUGCAAAUAGAGCAAGAAUAAGCUUGUCUAGUUUCUUCUCCAAUGUACUUCUUUUAGAGGGAACAUUCAUAGAAUUCAUCAUAACCUGCAAUAGUGUCCCACUGCAGUAAAUCUCAAAACUAGAAGCACAUCUAACCUACAAGUUGAAUAUAUAGGGACACAAAAUUGCACAUACUUUCGUCUCAUGGCCCGUGAAUAUAACAGCCGCGACAAUGUACUCUGUAUUACGAAGGCUGCAUCCCUGUGGCAAAGUGGUAAUAAGAGGUUGCAUGUGUGCCACAUAAAGAGAGAGAAUUAAGUGUCAUGCAAGACACCGUUCAGUCUGGUGAAAGUAAACAUUUCUUUUGCACUUUACAAACAUUGCUUCAACCCUUCACCACUUAUCCUACAUAUGGGACUAGAGAAGAAAUGGAAGUUGUUUAUAUGAAUGUUAAACAUUUCCAAAUUGUUUAUAUCAUAGCUAUCCUUGUUUGCAAACCAAUAAGAACAAUAUUAUUAUAGAGGUGUUUUAUGAUGAAAAUUUCUGCUGGUGACAUUUGGGUGUCGUCAAUAUUGGUAUUUGGAGGAGAUGUUGGUGAUCAAAGUUAAAGGCCGAGUAAAGGCAUCACGCUAUGAUGUUAUUUUUUACCUGAGGGAUUUUCUUAACAAACUCAUGCUAAAUCUAGAACAUGCAAACAACUUUGCAGGUGGACAAUCUUGUAAAGAAAUUUCAAGGGCAUGUUUGUGUGAGGGGUAUUACUUUGGUACGUGUUGGUAACUACAUACCUAAUUGUUACAAGAAAAAUCUCAUCCAAACAAGCCCUAAGGACAUUAUGGACCUUGCUACUGCAAAGUUGGUAAGUCGAAAAUACGACAGGAUGUCUGAUUGAUAUGUAGGACCUGGACCCACAUGUCAUUCUCACAGCGAGUCGCACUAUUUCAAAUGUCAACUUUGUGGUGGCAUGGUUUCAAUUUUCCCAAUAAGAAACUAGAUACAAAUAGCAUAGAUGAACAGCACUUACCCUUAGUAGUAUUUGAUUUGGUGAAAUUGGUAUAGUUUGCUUGUCCACAAUAAGGUUCCCGGUAAAUGUAUAAAGUGAAUUGUUUGGCUGUUCGCAUUGUAUUUCACCUGUAAGCCAUGAAACAUACAGAUAAUGUGAAGUUAAGAAAAUGUAGAAUAGUUAAGUGAAGUUCAGAAAAGGAGCAAUGCUUCCUACACCAACUACCGAAAAAUGUCUGCAACAUGGAACAAGAAUAGAUAAAAACCUUUGAAUUCAGAAGCCUUUUCAGGAAUUACGCAGUCCCAGGUUUUCUCCAAAGCCUUCCUUAUUUUCAGGUUAGUUUCCCCAUCAAGAUUUGCUGUCUAAGGUAAAUAGAAGUAUGAUACACUUCAAUUAAAACAGAGUUUCUCUAAAUCAUUCAAUAAUUUCAAUUUGGACAAAAGAUGGAGAAGGUAAGAAUGAAUAUAUUGACCUCUAUGUAGCAGACACCAUCAGGGUUCGUACUUGAUAGGAAGAGCAAGUCAGAAGGAAAGUAAGUGUCUUGCUUGAUCUGCUCUAAAGAAGUGCCAUCACUAUUAGUCUUUUUGGAUAUGUGUAUCGAGCUGAAGAUUAAAUUUGCACAGCACAAAAGAUCAAGUGCAUUAAUUUGUGGAAGCAACAGAUCAAUUGAAUUGAUCAUCAAAUUGCUAUCAGGAAAGAUGAAGACAUUACCCUCACAAUAUCUCCAACCUGCAGUCUUUUCCAAGGGGCACUUUCCCAUUUUUGACCUUGCAAUACAUCGACGUGCGCAUUAUUAAUUGACAUGUCAUUCUGGAAACGUUUCUGUAUAAUGGGAGGCAAACAAAAAGGGAAGAAUAUCAGAUAACAUUAAGAAUAGCAAUAAAAUAGUGGAGCAACAGAGCAUGAGAGCAAUACUAACCCAGUCCUCAAAAGCUUCCUUGAUGAGUGAAACCAAAAGCACUAAACUAAGUGGAACCACAUUGGUGACAGGGUGGACUGGACUGCGAAGAUACAAGCAUGUAUGAACUAAGAUUUCUAGAAGUAAAGGUGAAGGAAAGCAAAGGAUGACUGAAUCAACUGAUGGACUUGAUAUGCUAAGAAGUGUCUAGCUGUAACAUGAGAAUUCCAUAGGGUGCAUGCAUGAGAGAGAGAGAGAGACCUAAUUGGUGUAGUCGACAAGAUUGAAAUCAUAAGAAAGUAAAGAUUUGCCACCCGUCUGAACUGUCAAAGCAAAAAAAAAAACAAAUGAAUUACAAAAGGUUCCUAUGGUCAAAUUGCGAUAAUACAGAAAGGGAACAUCUAAAUCGGUGUUACAGCUACCAUUGCAAAGUUUCUUUAUUCGAUAUGGAAAAAUGCAUUACAUGUUUAAUGUAUGAAGCCAUUGAAAUACUUUAAUGUACCUUACGUAAAAAACAGUGGAUAAUGAAAUUGCCAGAAUUAUGGUAUCGCAUAAAAUGAAGGUUACAUUGAGCGAAAAGCAUGAUCAGGGCUUUACCAAAUAACAAAAUCAUACUUCUCCUUUUCUCAAUAUAUGGCAUUUUAGGUUUCAUUGAAGACAAGUCUUUGAAAAGGAUUUACUUUGUGUUGUUUUUAAGGCAUGAAAUUUAUAUCACUAGAUUCAUCCUCAAAAGUACUUAAUGUGGAUUCAUAUCAUAUAAAUCACAUAUUAAUGAAGUAAUUCUUGGUCAAAGUCUUGUAUUAACGAAACCUAAUAUGUCCUGUAUUGACAAAAUGAGGGAGUAUAUUAUCUAACAGUGCAUGUAUACAGGCACGAUACUGGUAGCGCGUAUUACAAGCAAGGUAUCUUAAAAACAUUGCAACACAGUGCCAGACCAGGUAAGCAACUAAGCAUCUCAUGUAUCCACUAUUUUAAGGGAAGUUGAUCCAGAGUGAGGAAAUAAACAUUUUUAAGGAGAUAUAUCAAUUUGCAAUGUGAAAAUGAUACGGAGUAGUAUAAUCAUUUCACUGUGAUAACAAAUACUCCCUCCGUUCUAAAUACUUGUCGCUGUUUUAGUGCAAACUAAAACAGCGACAAGUAUUUAGGAACAGAGGGAGUAACUUCCAUUUACCGUUAGACAUGAUACAAAAUAAUAUGUUGAAAAAAAAUCUAGCCAAAAACUAAAAAACAAACAGAAAAUCUGCAUUAAACGAUGACAAACCCAGCAGGUAUGUUGAUUAACAAAAUAUGUAUGAACAAAAAACAACGCAUCAAUACCUGUUCAAACAAUCCUUUAGGUAGAAAUGUCAGCACACUGUACUUUGUAGUCGACACAGAAUUUCCCUGGAAAUGUAGAAUGAGAAUGUUAAAGAACUAAUUCUAGCAGAAAAACAAAGUAGCGCUCUGCAUUAGAAUCGCGAUGGUCUGAUACCCAACAUGAGGGAGAUUCUGAAACUAAACAGAAGAGCUAAUUGCAACUAGAAGCAUGAAAAAAGUAUAGCUUGAUCUUUUUACAACAUCAAGUCUGAAUACAUUCAAGCAUUUACACUAACUUGGAACAAAAUGUGGGUGUCAAAGAAAAUGCAUGAAUACACCUACUUACAAUAAAGCACCAAUUUUGCAGUGAUUGGACAAACUAUGGUUAAAAUACUUAAUAAUAGAGUUCUACGUAUUUGGAGGCAUAAAACGCAUUGCAGUUGGAGCAGUGGCAUUAUCAUGUUAGUCAGUCUAACAUGGCAGUGAAUGACGUGAAUUUUUUGCUAGUUUAGACCUCUGGCCAGCGCAAUUGACAAAAAUGCCCCCCUCUCAAAACUAAUGCCAAAAAUGGUCUGGCAGAAGGCCCGAAAGGCGCCACAUUUCAUUUUUCGCCAUCUGAGCUGCGCAUGCAAACAUUCCGACAACCUGAAAGGCGGAAAGGCCGUUCCGCCUACUGCAUUUGAUGAAUGCACCUGACAAGGGCGGAAGGUGAACUGGGCCCUGCAGAUGGAAGCAAUUUCCACAUUUGUUACAGACCUGGAAUCUUUUUUUUUGUUGGAGUCGACGGACCAUGUAUGUGCGGAUGCAUAGGAAUCGGCAAGCAGCCUAGCUGCUAGUUCACGGGCACGUUUUACAUUUUCUUUCCUCAGGUUUGGCUAGUGCUACCACGUUGAUACUAAUCAACGCUUCUUGUGAAUGGGCUUAGUUGCUUCUACUAGUCGUGCGAGCGUUAAUCUUUUCUCUGUGCGCCUGCAUGUGCGGGCGUGGGAAUCGGGUCAGGUCCCUGCAGACAGCACGCCUGGCUGCACUGGGCCUGCUUCAGCUUCCGCCCCUGAAAAUUCACUUUCGUCCAUUUCAACUGGAAACAAGUAGGCUCCACCUGUCCUGUUGGCGGAAAGUUCAUUCCUCCUACCCAGUGGCCACUGGGUCAGUUGCUGGGCUUUCCACCACGUCAUUUUUCAAAUUAUAUUUCAGAUGGAGCUAUUUUUGCCAAUUCCGUUUGACAAGGGGCUACAAGAGCAAAGAAAUUGAAUGACAUAGCAAGCAAUCAAUUUCCCCUUAUAGGUAAAUAAUAAACAGCUUUGCUUCAGCUUACUGUCAUCAGCUGGUGGCUGACUGCCCUGACCAAACACAAGUUCAGUAAUCUACACAGCAAGCGGCACACAGGUGCAGCUAAGCACAUGGAUGAACAGAAUAUUCCAGCCAUUGAGGCUCAGCUCUCGAAGCUUAAUGCCAGGUGGCAUCUACAUUGUAUUGCAGCCCGUAGCACCCUGAUUGACUAGUAACCCAACAAUGAGACAAGCUCUAAUCCACCCAAUGACCUCACAGUUGGCAAGAAAUGCAGCCCUUAGUGACACGCACCACCCUACAUAACUUUCUCGUGGACUAAUCAGUAUGAAUCAUAUAAACCCUCUGCAAGCUGCAGUGAAAUAAAACUACUACUACUGAACUAGCUAUUGUCCCAGAUGGCCAUCUCCAACCCAACCGCCCAAGCAUGAAACAAGGGGCCAGUUACGAGAUCUAGGCCUACAGACCCCUAGACCUUGAGACAACCGACCUGUUGAUCAUCCGAAUUAGAGGAGGAGGUGCACACCCGUACCUUGUACCCGACCGGCGCGUUGGCUUCGCGGUCGUUGCAGUAGAUGGUGCGCACGGUGGGUGCCUGCGGCUGCGGCUGCCGUCGGAGGCUGCCGCCCCCGCCGCCGAGACGCGCCGUCCUGGACGCCUCAGCGCGGCCGGCCUGAGAGGUCCCCCCCCGCGGCGACUGCUCGCCGCCCAGCCGCGCGGUGGCAACCCGCAUCAUCUCCUUUAUGCGCGAGCUCAUCCUGCCCCCCUCAGCGCCAAACCCAGCGCUGGAGGAGCCGGCGGGAGAUCUGGGGAAACCUCACGGUGGAUCGGAGGGGAGACCUAGUCGGAUUUGCGCGGCUUUCUGGUGGAUUUCAGUGCCUCGCUGAGGAGGGGAUUCGAUUUGGGUCACGCGUUCCCGUAUGUGCGUAUUUUUUCCGUGUAAUUUUUUUGUUUUGCCUUUUUCUUUUCCUUUGGCUCCGGGAGAAGAGAAGACAGGAGGGGAAGGAAAAGCGAAGGUCGCGACUUCGCGAGGAAGAAAAUGAAGGGAUUACUGCAGAUCACACCCUUGAUUAUUUUCGAAUAUGGAAAGCUCCAGUAACUGAAGUUUGAAAUUCCAGCCGCGUUUGUCUUUUCCUUCUUCGAGCAAACAACCGUGUUCUUGACUUGUUCUAUGUUUUUGCUGUCCGGAGGACUACCCGAUUUGCAAGUAAAUAAUGGCAUUAAUUUCAUAUAAGCACUUUAGGACACCACACUUGACAUGGUUUUCUACUGACGACGACUAUAUGGUGGCUUUGAUGUUCCAUGAAUAGAUCUUUUUAGCGGUGUUUCAAGUUCAGGUGUUAUAACAAAGCAUUACUCUUGACCUAUCUUCCCUUGCGACCAUGCUUUUUGAAUCGCCAAGUCGAGUCGAAUCGCCCCCCAACAGACUUGGAGGUUAGUAUGAUUAGUCAGAAACUAGUCUCGACUAAUCAACCCAAGUCGAGCCUAGUGAUCAGUGAGGUUUAGGGAGCUCUAGCAGGGAGCAUUAGAGGAAAGGAGUGAAUUGCAGUAGAGGGGAAGCACGAGGGAACAGUUUUUGUGGUGCUGGAGCUUGAAGAAGAGGUUCAUGGCGGCUAGGAUCUAGGAGUCGAUAAACUUAGAACGCCCGUGUUGAGGCAAACGCGUUGAGGAAGACGACUUCAAAGGUGGUUGGCUCAUUAUCAGGAUAGGUGCGUGCCUGGCAGCCCAUAAAGGCCUAUUAGAAAACCCUAACUCCCCCCUCCCCCCCCCCCCCACACACACAUUGCCUUCUUCUACACCACACACGCACCAAUGGCGGCCAUCUUCUUCCCCUUCCCUGCUGCUCCCCAUGCCUUCUCUCCCUCCCCGAAAAGAAAUAUCUUCCGAAAAUUCUUCUCUUCGAGUCAAGUUGAGGGGCUCGCGGCGUUCCUAGUCACGGCGGCUAGUCGGAGAAGUCGCGGUUCUAGCUGACGAGUCGCGCGACUUGCUCUGCUAGUCGAGUCGCGGCUGCAAGCCGCCAUCAUUGUGCUGGCUCGGCGACUAGUUGGCGAUUCAAAAACCAUGCUUGCGUCUUAUAAUUUUGUUUCCUCUUAGAUUUUUUUCAAUUAUGUAUGGAACUCUUUUAAGCUUGGCUAACAUAUUGGGUCAAUUUGUCUCCCAUUGAAAAAAAAACAAUUUCCUAUAAAAAAUAAAGUAUCCACAAAACAAUAUGCAUAGCGCAGUUGUUUUCAAAGUUGUGGAUGAAACUUUGUGUUGUACAGGCAACCACUUAAUAACUUGUUCGGUUGUAGAAUUCCCCGCAUGUAUUGAAGAGGAUUAAGAGAGAUCUAAGGAAAAUUGAUCUGCAAUUCGAUCAUUCCCUCUUAAUCCCCAUCGGAGUGGAAUCAACCGAACGGGGCUAAUGUGGACCAUAUCACCUUGAGGACUCCAUUCUUCUUUUAUGGCAACGUUGCAUGGACCUUGAUAUGAACGCACGUGCCUGCAAUCUCUAUUAUUUUUUCGUAAAUAGCAACUGUCCUUUCUGUAUCUUGUAAUAUGUUUUCUACAAUUUUAUUUGGGAUAUUUCGUCAAGAACCCAAAUCGAUUACAUUUUCCACUUUGGCGAAUGAGUCAAGAUUCUCCAUGUGUUCCAGCGAGGCAACUGCGAGCUACACAUGUAUGGUGAAACAAGCCUCGCAACUUCGUAAGUAACUCCAAAACUACAUCAGCACGUCUCUUGAACUUUGGAAACACACAGACGUGUUCCACGACCGUGAGGCGACGGAGUUAACGGGGCAGCGUUGCCGGAAAGACAAGAGUACCGUAACAAGGCCCAGACUGGGCUGCAUCGGCGUUCUGCCUCUAUUACAAGCGAGAGAUGUUGAACCGGCCAAGGUUAGGCAAGGCAGUCAGCGGGAGGAUUUUUUUUUUUUUGUUGUUGGUUUUGAAGAGGCGCGGGAGGAGAAGAACUUGCUUGACCAGCCCACAAGAUCGUGAACCGGUAUGACAUUGACAUUUUAUUUAGGGCCAGUAACGUGUAAUUAGAAGUACUAGCUUACAUCUCUUCCUUUUUGAACCGUCAGAUCUGCAACCAUAUCAUCUCUCCCCUUUGUCCUCUUCGCUAUGCCGAUUUUAGUGAAACGCCGCUGCCAAAUCUUCACAGGAUUGUGAACCGGCAGCAGCUUCGACCCUUCAAUAUUAUUAUUACAGCUAAAUAAAAGACUGAAAUUAUAGGUGAGGUCCUUUGUUCUAAUCGCCCAAGCGAGCAGAAGCCAAGAGAUUACGUGCAAGCAUAGCAUGGCCAUGUUCGCCAACUCAUGACAUAGUGGCACAGGGACUAACCACCUGGAUUACAUGGCUAGCUUCCAUAUAUGUGCAACAAAAUAUUGGUACCAGGCAGCCAUCUGUGCCACCAACCAUAAACUCCCUGAUCCCAAAAAAUACAAAAUACCAAGAGUUUCCACCCACAUCAGUACAAGUGCACAACAGUUUAAGAGACAAGCCAAGGAUCAUUCCCAGUUUGUGGGAAUAAAUAAGAGUCCGCAGCAAACAGAAAACUCAAAAUCGCUGGCAAAGUUAGGAUGUGGAAAAAAGAAAGGCUUAAAAUGAUCUAGCCAUGGCGUCAGAAUCUAUUAUCAAUGUUUCUCUCUCAAGGAUUUCCCUUCUAUAUAAAGUAUAAUAUUACAAAGGGGCUGCUUAAAUAUCAUGGACUCCUGGAAUGUAAAGAGGGUAAUAAUCAACACUACAUGAGCCUCCUUUUUCCUGAGGCUGCUUCCUAAGACUGACUGACUGCUUCCCCGAGGAUCCACAUACACCCUCCCCUCUCCUCAAGUUCCACCUCCCACCAUGGAAGUUAAACCCCCACCAUGGAUCCGAUGCUAACCAACUGUACGCGACCUGGAGAAAGUCAGUCAGCUUGGUGGUUCAAUCAAGACAGAGCAUCACGAUAUUGCCCAAAUGGUAUAAUUGGCAGGAUCAAUAAGUAGUUUAUGCUCGCAGCAAGAUCCAAAAGAACCAAUCUACCAUGACUAAUGUAUGACAAGAAUGAUGUCUUAUGUCUACUUUCAGAUACACUAUGGUCCAGGUGAAACAAUAUUUUAAAGUUUAGUAAUUACUGGCAGUAGUAGACAGACCACAGAAGUGUAAAGAUAUUUGCACACAUGACCUUUUAAUCCAAGGCUAACCCAACCUUGUAAGCUACGUGCUGUUUGUGCUAACGCUGCUGCUUGAAUGCAAUUAGACAGUGGUGAUGUCCUUGUUAGUCUGUUACAUACCUAAGGCAUCACCUCCUGAUUCUAGGUUUGCACCGGAACUCUGCUAAGAGCGCUAUGUGAUCUGAUGACCAUUCAGGUGAAGGAAGAGCAGUGUCUUUUCUUAAGCUCUCCUCAUCCAGAAGUUCCAACAAAGACUCCACGGUCAACGAAUCCGCUGAAACAAUAAAGGAAACAUGAUCAACUGACCAUAAUCAAACAUAUCACAAUACUACAAGCUGAUUCUGAAGCAAUUCCCAGAAGUCUAAAUACAGCAUACAGGUCAGGUACCUACCUGUGUAAAAUAUAUAAUCAACAGUUCCAGUGAAAUCCCUUGUGCAAUUUGUGAAAAGUGGUUCAUUUGUUCCUGGAUCCAUCCUCCUUCGCUGGUGCUCUAAAUCAUAGCCAACACCUACCAUUCUUGCAAAUGAAGAAUAUGCACUGACCUGCAAACAAGUAAACAUUGGUCAGAAUUUUAAAGGAAGAACAAGAUAGACAAGCUUGAUAGUUUUACUGUACCAGAGGAAGCUGGUGCGUCAACUUGCUCACGGGGCGUAAAAUUGAAAGUGGGUCUAUGGCCAGAUCUGGAUGCAAUUGAUCAACUUUGCCCACCGCAAGAAGCCCAUGUGGAGUACUGAAAGACAAAAGGAAGCACUUAGAGAUUUAAAGUUAGAAAAAACAAGUAAACCUGAAAAAUAUUGCUCCAAUAGAAUCUUGACAUGCACCUCCCCGGGAUUGAAUUGAAAUCCCCACAGACCAACAUUGGAAUGUCUGCACUGUUGGCUAUUUUCUCCAAUCCUUUUAGUAGUGUUUGAACCUGCAAAAAACAUACUUACUUUCGAUCUGAAUUUUUCAGAUGUUGCAGAAUGCUAGCCUACAGAGAAUGUGACAAUACUGACCUCCCAUAGUUUCACAUCUUUGAGGUCUUGGUGGACAUUUACAUGUGUAUUGGCCUGAAAUUUGAGAUCAUUUAAAAGAAUGAGACCUCCAUGACUCCAAGUAGCAUAAGCCUAGGCCGUAUGAACAAUGGGAAAUCUGUAGUAAAGUUGGCCUCAAAAUCUAGAGUCUAGAGAGCCAAGUCCCAAUCAUCCGCCAUUAACAUAUAGAUGUUUCCGUGCAUCUUAUGCUACUAAGGUCAUCCUACACAGAUAUAUGUUUCACUUCAUUCCUAAAUGUUGUGAGCAAAGAAGGAAAAGAAUCCAUAUGUUGUUCUGCACUAUGCUGCUAGCAGUUCAAUAGCUAAACAUACGGGAAAGUCCACUUUUGGCCCCUUAACUAUUGCCUCAGAUCAAAAUCAUCUAAUUUGCACCCUCAACUAUCAAAAGCAUCCAAGUUACAUCUGAAGGCAAUAUUUGUUAGAGGCUUUGUGUGAUGUGGCAUCCAUGUCAACGUGUUUUGCCACAUCAAUCGCUGCUGGGCAGUAGGGCCCACAUAUCAUGGCUGCCGUGCCCCUUCUUUCUUUAUAAUUCUUCCUCCUUAGCCAUGCCAUGGCCUCCUCUGUAGGCUAUAGCUUCCACUGCUGCUGCUACAGAUAACCCAUGUUUGACGUUGCAUAACAUCUUCUGAUUUAGAGAGGGGUAUCCUGACAGACAUGUACCAGUCUCCGCAAACCGCUGCACGGCUGCAUCCUGAGGGGAAUGGACAAAGAGAGGAUUAGAGAGGAAGGCUGAGGAGGGAGGCGUUUAGGGCGACUCCAACACGGCCACCCAAAUCGGACACAAAAAGUGUGUCCGUUUGGGUCUGCUGGUGCCCCUAACACGGUCACCCAUUUGGUCCGUUUUAUUAUUUAGUAUUGGCCACGGAUAGGCGGGCCAGGGCAAGGACAAGGGAGGACAAGCGCAGUGUCCACCCGCUGUCCGCCCAGACACAAACCCGGUCAGAUUUGGGUCGGCAAUGGGUUGAGCUGGACAGAAAAGCAGACAGCCGCCACACCGGACGAAAUGGGUCGCCGCGUUGGAGUCACCCUUAAUGCUAAGCUGGGAAAGAGGAAGGGAACAGAAAUAAGAGGAUGAGGACAAGGGAGGGAGAAAAGGGUGCUUCCAAAAAAUCAAUCCCAGGCAUGUGGGGCCUACUGCCCAGUGGAGAAUGAGAUGUCAAAGUUGCUGAUUUGGCGGCUACAUACAGAAUAUCACUCAUGAAACCAGCUUCUGGUCCUAUCGAACGGUUUCAUGAGUUGAUGGUUCAAUUUAGACCAGGCAAAAGUUGAGGGAUCAUAAUUAGGCUUUUCCAAACAUAAAUGAAUGUCAUGCUGUAAAAGUAGUGUUCGUCAUCCAGUAAACUGGUUCGAAUAUCCAACAAGCGCACAACUACUUUAUACACAUCUAAAGAAAGAACAGCUAUUUACAUACCACACAAAGGAGCUGCCUUUUACCAGGAGUUUCAGUUCCUUGGUUGCCAAAUUUUGCUUCUAAAACCGCAAUCAGCGCAAUAUUAUCCUUCAAAGCAAAUAGAACGUGUGAUAAAUAACAUCACUUUUUUUUGCGAAAAGUGAUAAAUAACAUCACUGUAGCAUACAUUAUUUCUUUUGAAGUUAAUCUUACUUUAAUCAGUCGACUUAAAGCCACUCUUUUCUGGGAAGCUGGAAUAAUAGCUUCUGUUAAAGACUGUGCAGCCUUAUUGAACUCAACCUACACAAGCAAGUACAAGUAUUAGAUAGCUGCAAAUAUCAAGCUGCUGCAAACCUGCAGUACAGGUACCUCGUAUUUUUUGACAUGUGAAAAUCUAUCUCUACGGAAGAAAGUAGCACAGCCAUCAAUGGCAUUAGGAACUCCAGCAUACACCUGUGACAACAGUAAAGUAAAAUCAAACAAGAGACAAAAGGUAUUAAACCAAAAUAUGAAGGAAAAAAUCAACCCAAAGAUACCUCUGUUGUCCGUUUCUUGUAAAGCGCCUGAUACCCAUGUUUAUCAAACUCAGGAGCAAAAAAAUCCUCAAAGUGGUUCAAUUGUACCUGAAAACAGUAGGACUUGGCUUAAUUCCCUCCUGUUACAAUCUUCGGUCACUCUUCGUUUUUAUUGUAAGCCGCUUCAGUAAACUCUUCAUAAUAUAUAUGCAGACAAUAUUCGUGAAAGUUUAAACAGCAAGCAAACUAUCAUAAAUUCAUAAUCCAACAUCACUGAAAAGUGAAAACAAUCAAACAAAGUGAUGGCACAAAUAUGGAAACGAACAGCCCAGCAGUAUAUGAAAGAUUGUAGGUUGAUGAACAGGGUUCCGGCAUUAAAGUUUACCGAGUCGCAAAAAUUAUAUGAUCAACCAAAUGAGACAUGCUCGGUUCCUAAAACAAAUAUAUGAGAUGAAAAGCUGAAAAUAGGUCACCAAAAUAAAUAAAUUCAGAAGAUAGCAAACAUAUGAUACCUCCUGAAGACAUAUAAUAUCAGCAUGAUAACCAAUAAUUUCGCGCAUCAAAUUUUGUCUUCUGUAAGUCCAUGAAAGUGCCCACGUUGGGCAGUAGCUAUAUGCAUCAGAUGUAGCAUAUGCAUCAGCAAGAAUAUUAUAGGACAGCACCGUGAAUGUCCCAAAAGAAGAAGUCUGGCUGUCUAUAUCUGAGUGACCCAAAACAUCUCCAUUCACUUGGAUAAGGCGGCGUGGAGUAGGAGUUGGUGCUGGAAUCACACGUGAUGUCAUAAUUGAAGUUGGAGACCCCGCAGGUACUUUCUUUUCCGUAUCCACCGCUGCACAUUCAAAUCUUAGAACAUGCCCAAUAUCAUCAGCAGUUGGUGUAUACGUCUGCGAGCGUCCCACUUCAAACCAUGUUUCACCCGAGUUCUUAUCAGUGCCUGAGGGAUACAAGGGAACAGGUCCAUUAUUAACUCCAGGGCUCUGUCCAAGAUUUGACAUUGAGCCAGACCCAGAACUUAGAAUCCCAGAACUACCGCUGCCAAAUCUACCAAAUAGCUCCUCCUCUUCAGCUCCAUUUUCAUUUAAAGCACUACUAGCUCGCUCAUGCAAAACCCUGUGGUGCUGCCAUGCAUCAGAGAAGCACUUAGCAGAACAAUGGUAGCUCUUAGCAGCAGGUAUUUUUGACUUGAGACAACCUAAGCACUGAAUUGUUGCUUGCUCCAUCGGAUGUACACUGCAGAUAGUAACUUUUCGAUCACUCUGUAUGCGAUACCUUCGAGCGAAAAGUCAAAUCAGUAUAACCAUGUGCUACUAGAUACAGAAAAAGUUUAGAAGAACAUGAUUGAAUAUAGUAACUACAAGAAAGGACACCUAAAUUGCCAAUGUUUUAGCAUGUAUGAGAUCCAGGAAAACUUGCUAUCAGCAUCUUGGAAGUCCAUUAUUCAGAGACAUUAGACUCACAACACUUCCAUUAUAAGCAUAGUAUGAAUAAGGCAAAAUGAAGCAGGUUGCCAAGAUGUCGCAAAAAAAAAGAAGCAAAUUACAAGUUUGCUUGUCAUGAGUUGCUGCUGCUGUUGUUUUUUCUUGAUUUUAGUCCCUCAACCGGCUAACUCGUGAUCAUUCAUCUCUUGCUUUCUUUACCAGAUCAACCAUGCAACUGAUUUCUUUAGCGGACCAGGCAAUAUAUGUAAUAAGCAAAAUUCUACAGUUUAGAUCAGAGAUUCAGAGGACUAUUGCAGGCUCUCAUAUAUCAUCAUUAGGGCAUGACGACCAGACAAGGAAGUUGCUGUGUAUAUUAUUAUUCCUAGAAGAAAAACAUUUAAGUACUGUUCAAGGAGGCGACCAACUAUAGCCCAGUGCCCACCCCAUCAAUCGAUUAGUGUCUUUCAGAACACUUCAUUUCAACAAUGUGUCUAUAAAUGGCCACACUUACUAUACUCAAACCUCAAACCUUAAAAGUGAAUAAAGAUGCACAUAUCACAUGAGAUUCUAUCAAGCUAAUGACUGAAAAGCAACACAAUGAAAAUAUAAAAAACUAUAGAAUUGAAGGACCAAAACCAAUGAAACUGCAUGAGUGUUAGUGGGACCAAGCACCACCAUUUCGAAAAGUUCUAAGGUCUAAAGUCUCAGCAAUAAAUGCUAUUUAAACCUACAUGACAUUAAAAAAACGGAUGUGAUAAAACAAAUAAAUAUUCACGAACAUGAUCAAUCAUUCAGAGCGGGAUUCUAAAAUUGAUCACUGAAAUUGUUCGGCCACCCAGCUAUUAGUGAUUAUACAGCCGAGCUAGCUCAUUGCAGUGGGUGGCAUAACCAGCGGUUACAAGUUCUUUUCUCUCAUAUUUGCCUCUCCAUUUUUCAUUUUUUUAUUUCCAAAUAGAUCUACAAUGUUAUUUGAAUUUUAAAAAUAAUAGGUAGGGCACUCCUUACAUACAUGACCUCCUAGGCCAUUUAAAACAAAUAUGCAUUGUUUGGGGUUUUUUAUAUAACAUAAAGUAAGUUAACUAUGACACACUGCCAAAAUAUUUUUGCAUAAAAAACAUUAAAUUUGAUAUAGCACAGAAAGAACGUGGAUAUCCAGCAAGAGAUUAAAGAAGGCAAAGUGGGGCAGGCAGUCAGCAAAACAAAACUAGUGGAUCACGAGUUUCAAACUUUUACUAGCUUUAAGCAACUGAAAUAACUUGCCACUGAACCUAGUGAGCCAACAACUCUAACGUGUAAUAGCAAACAAGUAAUAAUUCUUUUGAAGCUCCAGAAUAAUCAAAACUGAGUCUAGAAUCAAGCUAGAAUGCCCAUUUGAGUUCACUGGUGAUGUUAGAGUGAUACUUAGUUCAAGGAGUAUAUCCAGAUACCCCAAUCAAAAAAAUCAUCUGAAGCCAUGCGAACAAACUGAUGGCACUUCUAGAAUAGUGUCUUUCCACAAAAUUAGUUAGAUAAGCCUAUGUAAUCCCAAAAUUUAUAAAAUGCUCCCGUUCCAUCCAAGAUGAACGUAAACAUUCCUGCACAACGAUUGGCAACAAUCCUCAACCCAACAGCCUUCAUCACCAUCCUAUGAUGCUAUCUAACACUCAAUAGUUCUAGCAAAACCAAAAUCAGAUGGUCUGUUUUGCUCAAUGAAUUACUUAUUAUCAUUACCAACCCGUGUGGCAGGUUGAUAUGGCAUAGACUAAAUAGUAUGAUUCAUAAACAGGCUUAAAAUAAUGCAAUACUGAGUUCUUUACCAAAUCAAGCAUUGGCAUUUCAUGUUCCCUGGGUUUCCAUUCGUUCCAAAAACAAACAACUGUCUUGCUAGAGAAAAUCAUGCUCAGAAUUCAUAUAGUUGUGCUUCAUUUAUGCAAGAAUCAAGACGAUUCAUGAGUUUAGCAAGUAGUUAAGCAUCUAGCAAACUGAUUGAUACUUAAAGCCCCCAUUUUCUUUUUUUCUUUUUUGUCAAAAUUCACUUGUAGCAACGCACAAGCGGAACUAAGCAUUCGAAAGUGUAUAUCCUAUUGAACCAAAAGUUGCAAUCACGAGCUGCUCACUCACCAUCUGUAUCGCAUGAAGUGGCCAUCAACAGGCGCGGCCUCAGGCACGUCGUCGGUGGAGAUUACACCGUUGGGCAGCCGCAGCAGCACGUACGGGGUGAUUUCGCACCCCACGAUCGGGAUCUCCGACGGCAGGUGCACCCGCACC
This 25547-nucleotide long non-coding RNA is filed under the name Brachypodium distachyon (stiff brome). Its description in RNAcentral is "long non-coding RNA (BDIS_LNC003394)". Lineage: Eukaryota; Viridiplantae; Streptophyta; Magnoliopsida; Poales; Poaceae. The record is from RNAcentral.